UACAGAGGUCCCGAGCGUUGUUCGGAUUCAUUGGGCGUAAAGGGUGCGUAGGCGGCGCGGUAAGUCGGGUGUGAAAUCUUGGAGCUUAACUCCGAAACUGCAUUCGAUACUGCCGUGCUUGAGGACUGGAGAGGAGACUGGAAUUUACGGUGUAGCGGUGAAAUGCGUAGAUAUCGUAAGGAAGACCAGUGGCGAAGGCGGGUCUCUGGACAGUUCCUGACGCUGAGGCACGAAAGCGUGGGUAGCAAACAGG
This 253-nucleotide ribosomal RNA is filed under the name uncultured bacterium. RNAcentral describes it as "partial 16S ribosomal RNA". It matches the Rfam family "Bacterial small subunit ribosomal RNA", at positions 524 to 776 of the family's 1533-position model. The record is from RNAcentral.